This is a long non-coding RNA of Chelonia mydas (Green sea turtle), 376 nucleotides long. RefSeq lists it as uncharacterized. The transcript has 3 exons. The record is from RefSeq and is a predicted model, not a curated record. NCBI's taxonomy places the organism in Eukaryota, Metazoa, Chordata, Testudines, Cheloniidae.
ACAAAUGCUUCCCAUGUCCAGCUGGGUUUCACUGUCAGCACGGCAUAAUGCAACAUUGUCCACCUGGCUUUUACUGCCCCCAGAAGACUGGAAUCAGCUUUUACCCGUGUCCAGCUGGGACUUACAACCCAUCUCAUGGAAUCAGCCAGGCCGAGAGGUGCCAGCAAUGCCCUGCAGGGAUGUUUUGUGGAGAAUGGGGAUUAUCCUCUCCGAGUGGCCCCUGCUGGCCAGGAUUCUUCUGCACAGCAGGAGCCAGUGUCCCAAACCCUGAUGGAGCCACAAAUACAAGCACUGGAGGCCCAUGCCCACCUGGGCAUUUUUGCCCAGCUGGCACCAGCAUCCCAUUUCCAUGCCCUGUGGGCACAUUCUCGGACAG